RNAcentral lists this transfer RNA (76 nucleotides) under Verrucomicrobia bacterium GWF2_62_7. Its description in RNAcentral is "tRNA-Trp". It matches the Rfam family "tRNA". Rfam says of the family: Transfer RNA (tRNA) molecules are approximately 80 nucleotides in length. Their secondary structure includes four short double-helical elements and three loops (D, anti-codon, and T loops). Lineage: Bacteria; Pseudomonadati; Verrucomicrobiota. The record is from RNAcentral. RNAcentral also lists the same sequence under 2 other names.
ACGGCGGUAGCUCAAUUGGUAGAGCAUCGGUCUCCAAAACCGACGGUUGGGGGUUCGAGUCCCUCCCGCCGUGCCA